CCUACGGGAGGCAGCAGUGAGGAAUAUUGGUCAAUGGACGGAAGUCUGAACCAGCCAUGCCGCGUGCAGGAAGACGGCUCUAUGAGUUGUAAACUGCUUUUGUACAAGGGUAAACCUGAAUACGUGUAUUCAGCUGAAAGUACUGUACGAAUAAGGAUCGGCUAACUCCGUGCCAGCAGCCGCGGUAAUACGGAGGAUCCAAGCGUUAUCCGGAUUUAUUGGGUUUAAAGGGUGCGUAGGCGGUCGGAUAAGUUAGAGGUGAAAUCCCGAGGCUCAACUUCGGAAUUGCCUCUGAUACUGUUCGGCUAGAGAGUAGUUGCGGUAGGCGGAAUGUAUGGUGUAGCGGUGAAAUGCUUAGAGAUCAUACAGAACACCGAUUGCGAAGGCAGCUUACCAAGCUACUUCUGACGUUGAGGCACGAAAGCGUGGGGAGCAAACAGGAUUAGAUACCCCAGUAGUC
Molecule: ribosomal RNA, 460 nt
Filed under: uncultured bacterium
Lineage: Bacteria
Description: partial 16S ribosomal RNA
Rfam family: Bacterial small subunit ribosomal RNA
Source: RNAcentral